CCACUGAGCAGCCUUGCAUUGUAGGUUCUUUUUUUUUUUUGAGGCACCUCCAUACUGUUUUCCAUAAUGGCUGUACUAACUUAUAUUCCCAUCAACAAUGAAGUUCUCAUUUCUUUGCAUCUUCUCCAAAAAUUGUCUUUCCUCUUUUUGACAAAAACCACUCUACUCUCCUCGUCUGUCGUUGAACUGGAGUGUUUCCUGUCUGGCCUCCUCCCAGCGGUGCUGACCUUGGUGCUGGGGAUCAUGCCCAGACCCCUGAGCUACCUCGCUAGUCUGAGAGGGAUCUGGAAAAGAUGUUGUCAACUCUUCUAGGAAGAAAACAGAAGAUUUAGUCUCCUUUGUCCCCCUGGAUAUUUUUCUGCCCAGAUGUGAUACCCGGAAUCAUGGCAGCACUCUUGAGACUAUGAGGGGAGACAGUCUGGGAACAAAGCUGAUCUACAGAGGUAUGAAAAAACCUGGAUUAUUGAAGUUGUCAAAUCAACCCUGAAGUCACUCUACCUCUGGCCCUCAUGUUGAAUGGGGAAGAUGAACCUGUAAUAACUGAACUAGAAUUGUGCAUCAAAAUCCUCAAAUAAAAUGCAAGAAAAUGAGUUUUCUGGUAGCCUGCAAUGCUAUCCAGAGAUUAUAUUUUCUUCCUGCAGGCCUUGUGCUGAGCACUUCAUCAUCUCACUCAGUUCUCACAAUAACCUCCUCAGGAAACUUCCUCAGAGAGCUUAAGUAACUUGCCUAACAUCACACAGGAGGAGCUGGAAUUUAAAUAUAGACAGGCUGACUACAAACCUGGUUCCCCAAACAAGGGGGAAGAAUACCCAGGGACCUGCUGUAGGAUGUUGGGGUGAGGAGGUGAAAAGCAACGGACAGAUAGAUCUCUUAGUGCUUAAGGACGACCACGACGGUGAUGGGAUCCUGGGAGGAGAUGUUGCUACAGUCAAGAAAGCUUCCUGAAACGAGCCAGUCCCCCCAAACCAGAGGUCGAAUGUUCUCUGUGUAUGUGGAUUCUAACAUCCGAUAAGGGGUGGUGGAGGUAGGGAAGAAUAGAAGUUCAUUGGAUGAGACCAAGGGGAAUGAAGGGAAGGGAGGGGGAAGGAAUGGGAAAGACAGGAGAGUGACAUCAGGCAGAACUUUCCUGUGUUCACAUAUGAAUUCACCACCAGUGUAACUCCACAUGCUGUACAACCCCAAGGAUGGGAAGUCAGACUCCUUGUAUGUGUGACAUGUCAAAAUACACUCUACUGUCAUGUAUAACGUGAAAACAAUUUUUUUAAGUUAAAAAAAAAAGCUAAAAAAC
This 1288-nucleotide long non-coding RNA is filed under the name Marmota monax (woodchuck). Lineage: Eukaryota; Metazoa; Chordata; Mammalia; Rodentia; Sciuridae. The record is from RNAcentral.